ACCUAUUCAUGGCCGGAAUUACCAUGAGGUUGUGCGAUUGUAUUGUACUUUCGUGUUCUUUUUCCUCCUCUGUCGCUUGUUGUUUAAGCCAGCGAAGUACUCUCCGGACACCAACUGCUUAUGCAUAAUGUGCUUCAAUGCUCCAUUAAAUAUCACUCUAGCGGCCUCAAUUAUUCUUAUUUUAAUCUUAUAAAAAAAAAACUUGAUGCAUCAACAAUUCACCUCUUUGGUUUGUUAAAAGGAUUAAAAAAUAAUCCCAGCAAAACUCAAUGUGUUAACUAUUGAGCUUAAGUCAUAAUAGCUAAGAAACUUUAAUAAAACAGUUCUUUUUUUAAAGACCUCUACAAUAUAAUCGAUAAUUGAACACUCUAGCGGCCUCAAUUAUUCUUAUUUUAAUCUUAUAAAAAAAAAACUUGAUGCAUCAACAAUUCACCUCUUUGAUUUGUUAAAAGGAUUAAAAAAUAAUCCCAGCAAAACUCAAUGUGUUAACUAUUGAGCUUAAGUCAUAAUAGCUAAGAAACUUUAAUAAAAACAGUUCUUUUUUUAAAGACCUCUACAAUAUAAUCGAUAAUUGGAAGAAAAUGAUAAGAAUCAAAUAC
This 599-nucleotide long non-coding RNA is filed under the name Daucus carota (carrot). RNAcentral describes it as "long non-coding RNA (DCAR_LNC001923)". The record is from RNAcentral. Lineage: Eukaryota; Viridiplantae; Streptophyta; Magnoliopsida; Apiales; Apiaceae.